Molecule: ribosomal RNA, 215 nt
Filed under: uncultured bacterium
Lineage: Bacteria
Description: partial 16S ribosomal RNA
Rfam family: Bacterial small subunit ribosomal RNA
Source: RNAcentral
AGGAACCUGCCUCGGAGUGGGGGAUAACACAACGAAAGCUGUGCUAAUACCGCAUGAUACAGUUGGGUCGCAUGACUCUGACUGUCAAAGAUUUAUCGCUCUGAGAUGGCCUCGCGUCUGAUUAGCUAGUUGGUGAGGUAACGGCCCACCAAGGCGACGAUCGGUAGCCGGACUGAGAGGUUGAACGGCCACAUUGGGACUGAGACACGGCCCAG